UUAGUGUGGCUGUCCAGGAGCUCACUGCCUGGCUCUGUGCAGGGAUUCAGGAAAGCACAGGGCUCUUUGCCAGUGAUGUGCAGUCCCUUUUCAUGAAGGUAGAGAUGAAGUUUUGGGCUGCUUGCUGUUACAGCUGCUCUGAGUCUGUGGGACUAGACUGAGGAGGCAGACCAGGUUGAAGACACGU
Molecule: small nucleolar RNA, 187 nt
Filed under: Octodon degus (degu)
Lineage: Eukaryota; Metazoa; Chordata; Mammalia; Rodentia; Octodontidae
Description: Small nucleolar RNA SNORA73 family (ENSODEG00000022764.1)
Source: RNAcentral